GACGAACGCUGGCGGCGUGCUUAACACAUGCAAGUCGAACGGACAGGCCCUGCUUUUGUGGGGUGCUCGAGUGGCGAACGGGUGAGUAACCCGUGAGUAACCUGCCCUUGACUUUGGGAUAACUUCAGGCAACUGGGGCUAAUACCGGAUAGGAGCUCCUGCUGCAUGGUGGGGGUUGGAAAGUUUCGGCGGUUGGGGAUGGACUCGCGGCUUAUCAGCUUGUUGGUGGGGUAGUGGCUUACCAAGGCUUUGACGGGUAGCCGGCCUGAGAGGGUGACCGGCCACAUUGGGACUGAGAUACGGCCCAGACUCCUACGGGAGGCAGCAGUGGGGAAGAUUGCACAAUGGGCGGAAGCCUGAUGCAGCAACGCCGCGUGCGGGAUGACGGCCUUCGGGUUGGAAACCGCUUUCGCCUGUGACGAAGCGUGAGUGACGGUAAUGGGUAAAGAAGCACCGGCUAACUACGUG
Molecule: ribosomal RNA, 468 nt
Filed under: uncultured bacterium
Lineage: Bacteria
Description: partial 16S ribosomal RNA
Rfam family: Bacterial small subunit ribosomal RNA
Source: RNAcentral